AAGGUUCAGAGGGAGGUAAACCAAGCACUUUCUCAGACGAAGAGAUAUGAUCCAAGAGGAAAGAAGCCGCUGCCAAUUCACAGAAUAACAAAAGUCCAGAAUAACCAGGUACAAUAACAAUGGAAAACCCAUCGGUUUAAGAAUCACUGAGCGUAAACAAAUUCCGAUAACCAUGGCCAUCAUCCCAAAGAGGCCAAGCGAAACCCU
This is a long non-coding RNA of Rhodamnia argentea, 207 nucleotides long. RefSeq lists it as uncharacterized. The record is from RefSeq and is a predicted model, not a curated record. The transcript is spliced from 2 exons. NCBI's taxonomy places the organism in Eukaryota, Viridiplantae, Streptophyta, Magnoliopsida, Myrtales, Myrtaceae.